RNAcentral lists this ribosomal RNA (534 nucleotides) under Diaporthe caulivora. RNAcentral's name for it is "eukaryotic LSU rRNA". It matches the Rfam family "Eukaryotic large subunit ribosomal RNA", at positions 69 to 628 of the family's 3401-position model. The record is from RNAcentral. Lineage: Eukaryota; Fungi; Ascomycota; Sordariomycetes; Diaporthales; Diaporthaceae.
CAGGGAUUGCCCUAGUAACGGCGAGUGAAGCGGCAACAGCUCAAAUUUGAAAUCUGGCUUCGGCCCGAGUUGUAAUUUGCAGAGGAUGCUUCUGGCGCGGUGCCUUCCGAGUUCCCUGGAACGGGACGCCAAAGAGGGUGAGAGCCCCGUAUGGUUGGACACCAAGCCUGUGUGAAGCUCCUUCGACGAGUCGAGUAGUUUGGGAAUGCUGCUCUAAAUGGGAGGUAAAUCUCUUCUAAAGCUAAAUACCGGCCAGAGACCGAUAGCGCACAAGUAGAGUGAUCGAAAGAUGAAAAGCACCUUGAAAAGGGGGUUAAAUAGUACGUGAAAUUGUUGAAAGGGAAGCACUUAUGACCAGACUUGGGCCGGGCGGCUCAUCAGGGGUUCUCCCCUGUGCACUCCGCCCGGCACAGGCCAGCAUCGGUUCUCGUGGGGGGAUAAGACCGUCGGGAACGUAGCACCCUCCGGGGUGUGUUAUAGCCCGGCGGACGAUACCCCCGUGGGGACCGAGGUCCGCGCUCCGCAAGGAUGCUG